UGGUCCUAUGUGGUAUGUUGUAGGACAGUGAAGUGUCUGACACUGACCAUGUAGCAGUGCCUGAGAACACUGGUAUGGAGGGGGAGAACGCACCUCUUUACUGUAUUUGUCGGAAACCAGACAUCAACUGCUCCAUGAUACUUUGCCAUGAUAAAUUGGUCAGUUGACAACCAGGAGCCGUACACCUUAACCUCAGAGGCCAGGACAUCCAGGGGCAGUGUGAACACGCACUUGCUUAAAUGGGACGCAAGACGGACUAUAGAGGGCCACCCGCUUGCCAGACAACCAAGUGCUGUCCCUGUCCACGGCCAGUGUGAGAAGGACUCUCACUAAAGUCAACCCACACAAAGCUGCUGGACCAGACAAUAUACCUGGACGCGUGCUCGGAGCCCGUGCUGACCAGCUGACUGAUGUCCUAGCGGGCAUCUUUAACAUCUCCCUGAGUCAAGCUGUUGUGCCACAGUGCUUUAAAACCACCACCAUCAUACCUGUCCCCAGACCUUCCCAAAGCCUAAUUCCACAAUGAUUGCCUGAGCCUAUUCUUGUUAAAUGAUGAAAAACUCAAAGGCACGUUUGGGCAGUGGAUCUGUGUGAAAUCAGCAGCUUGCAAAACGAAAUCAAAAUGUGUGCUAUUGAUUCUAAAAAUAGAAAUCACAAUAAAGUUCAACAUUUACUAAAACCGGAGUCUCGGAGUUUUAAGACAAUGGAUGAUUCGAUCUCAUUGGCACUCCACAUAGCCCUAUCACAACUGGAUCAACGCAACACCCACCUAAGAAUGCUGUUCACUGAUUUCAUCUUAGCAUUCAACACCAUCAUUGCCCAGCAGCUGAUCGGCAAGCUGGACCUGCUCAGACUAAGCAACUCCACCUUCAACAGGAUGCUGGACUUUCUUACUUUGUAUGAAAACGUAAUAAAUUGGUAUUAGUAUGUAAAACCUA
Molecule: long non-coding RNA, 938 nt
Organism: Maylandia zebra (zebra mbuna)
Lineage: Eukaryota; Metazoa; Chordata; Actinopteri; Cichliformes; Cichlidae
Source: RefSeq, a predicted model, not a curated record